GCCAGUAUAGCUCAGUUGGUUAGAGUGUUGUCCCAUGCACCCAAAGGUCAUGGGUUCAAAUCCCAGUCAGGGCA
RNAcentral lists this transfer RNA (74 nucleotides) under Myotis lucifugus (little brown bat). It matches the Rfam family "tRNA". Rfam says of the family: Transfer RNA (tRNA) molecules are approximately 80 nucleotides in length. Their secondary structure includes four short double-helical elements and three loops (D, anti-codon, and T loops). Further hydrogen bonds mediate the characteristic L-shaped molecular structure. tRNAs have two regions of fundamental functional importance: the anti-codon, which is responsible for specific mRNA codon recognition, and the 3' end, to which the tRNAs corresponding amino acid is attached (by aminoacyl-tRNA synthetases). tRNAs cope with the degeneracy of the genetic code in two manners: having more than one tRNA (with a specific anti-codon) for a particular amino acid; and 'wobble' base-pairing, i.e. permitting non-standard base-pairing at the 3rd anti-codon position. The record is from Rfam by way of RNAcentral. Lineage: Eukaryota; Metazoa; Chordata; Mammalia; Chiroptera; Vespertilionidae.